Molecule: ribosomal RNA, 468 nt
Filed under: uncultured bacterium
Lineage: Bacteria
Description: partial 16S ribosomal RNA
Rfam family: Bacterial small subunit ribosomal RNA
Source: RNAcentral
GACGAACGCUGGCGGCGUGCUUAACACAUGCAAGUCGAACGGAAAGGCCCUGCUUUUGUGGGGUGCUCGAGUGGCGAACGGGUGAGUAACACGUGGGUAACCUGCCCUUGACUUUGGGAUAACUUCAGGAAACUGGGGCUAAUACCGGAUAGGAGCUCCUGCUGCAUGGUGGGGGUUGGAAAGUUUCGGCGGUUGGGGAUGGACUCGCGGCUUAUCAGCUUGUUGGUGGGGUAGUGGCUUACCAAGGCUUUGACGGGUAGCCGGCCUGAGAGGGUGACCGGCCACAUUGGGACUGAGAUACGGCCCAGACUCCUACGGGAGGCAGCAGUGGGGAAUAUUGCACAAUGGGCGGAAGCCUGAUGCAGCAACGCCGCGUGCGGGAUGACGGCCUUCGGGUUGUAAACCGCUUUCGCCUGUGACGAAGCGUGAGUGACGGUAAUGGGUAAAGGAGCACCGGCUAACUACGUG